This 468-nucleotide ribosomal RNA is filed under the name uncultured bacterium. RNAcentral's name for it is "partial 16S ribosomal RNA". It matches the Rfam family "Bacterial small subunit ribosomal RNA", at positions 28 to 507 of the family's 1533-position model. The record is from RNAcentral.
GACGAACGCUGGCGGCGUGCUUAACACAUGCAAGUCGAACGGAAAGGCCCUGCUUUUGUGGGGUGCUCGGGUGGCGAACGGGUGAGUAACACGUGAGUAACCUGCCCUUGACUUUGGGAUAACUUCAGGAAACUGGGGCUAAUACCGGAUAGGAGCUCCUGCUGCAUGGUGGGGGUUGGAAAGUUUCGGCGGUUGUGGAUGGACUCGCGGCUUAUCAGCUUGUUGGUGGGGUAGUGGUUUACCAAGGCUUUGACGGGUAGCCGGCCUGAGAGGGUGACCGGCCACAUGGGGACUGAGAUACGCCCCAGACUCCUACGGGAGGCAGAAGUGGGGAAUAUUGCACAAUGGGCGGAAGCCUGAUGCAGCAACGCCGCGUGCGGGAUGACGGCCUUCGGGUUGUAAACCGCUUUCGCCUGUGACGAAGCGUGAGUGACGGUAAUGGGUAAAGAAGCACCGGCUAACUACGUG